This 512-nucleotide ribosomal RNA is filed under the name uncultured Flaviflexus sp. RNAcentral describes it as "bacterial SSU rRNA". It matches the Rfam family "Bacterial small subunit ribosomal RNA", at positions 12 to 524 of the family's 1533-position model. The record is from RNAcentral. Lineage: Bacteria; Bacillati; Actinomycetota; Actinomycetes; Actinomycetales; Actinomycetaceae.
UUUGAUCAUGGCUCAGGACGAACGCUGGCGGCGUGCUUAACACAUGCAAGUCGAACGAUGAUGCCUAGCUUGCUGGGUUGAUUAGUGGCGAACGGGUGAGUAAUAUGUGAGUAACCUGCCCCCUUCUUUGGGAUAAGCCUUGGAAACGGGGUCUAAUACUGGAUAUUCCUGUUGCAACGCAUGUUGUGGUGGGGAAAGUUUUUUCGGUGGGGGAUGGGCUCGCGGCCUAUCAGCUUGUUGGUGGGGUGAUGGCCUACCAAGGCGUCGACGGGUAGCCGGCCUGAGAGGGUGACCGGCCACACUGGGACUGAGAUACGGCCCAGACUCCUACGGGAGGCAGCAGUGGGGGAUAUUGCACAAUGGGCGCAAGCCUGAUGCAGCGACGCCGCGUGAGGGAUGACGGCUUUCGGGUUGUAAACCUCUUUCGCUACCGAACAAGGCUCCAUAUUGGUGGGGUUGAGGGUAGGUGGAUAAGAAGCGCCGGCUAACUACGUGCCAGCAGCCGCGGUAAU